Molecule: ribosomal RNA, 301 nt
Filed under: uncultured bacterium
Lineage: Bacteria
Description: partial 16S ribosomal RNA
Rfam family: Bacterial small subunit ribosomal RNA
Source: RNAcentral
CAGCAGCCGCGGUAAUACGAAGGGGGCUAGCGUUGUUCGGAAUUACUGGGCGUAAAGGGCGCGUAGGCGGCCAUUCAAGUUAGAUGUGAAAGCCCUGGGCUCAACCUAGGAAUUGCAUUUGAUACUGUUUGGCUUGAGUUCGGGAGAGGUGAGUGGAAUUCCCAGUGUAGAGGUGAAAUUCGUAGAUAUUGGGAAGAACACCAGUGGCGAAGGCGGCUCACUGGGCCGACACUGACGCUGAGGCGCGAAAGCGUGGGGAGCAAACAGGAUUAGAUACCCCGGUAGUCCCUGUCUCUUAUAC